RNAcentral lists this ribosomal RNA (496 nucleotides) under uncultured bacterium. Its description in RNAcentral is "partial 16S ribosomal RNA". It matches the Rfam family "Bacterial small subunit ribosomal RNA", at positions 28 to 506 of the family's 1533-position model. The record is from RNAcentral.
GAUGAACGCUGGCGGCGUGCCUAAUACAUGCAAGUCGAGCGAACAGAUGAGGAGCUUGCUCCUCUGACGUUAGCGGCGGACGGGUGAGUAACACGUGGAUAACCUACCUAUAAGACUGGGAUAACUUCGGGAAACCGGAGCUAAUACCGGAUAAUAUAUUGAACCGCAUGGUUCAAUAGUGAAAGACGGUUUUGCUGUCACUUAUAGAUGGAUCCGCGCCGCAUUAGCUAGUUGGUAAGGUAACGGCUUACCAAGGCAACGAUGCGUAGCCGACCUGAGAGGGUGAUCGGCCACACUGGAACUGAGACACGGUCCAGACUCCUACGGGAGGCAGCAGUAGGGAAUCUUCCGCAAUGGGCGAAAGCCUGACGGAGCAACGCCGCGUGAGUGAUGAAGGUCUUCGGAUCGUAAAACGCUGUUAUUAGGGAAGAACAAAUGUGUAAGUAACGAUGCACGUCUUGACGGUACCUAAUCAGAAAGCCACGGCUAACUACGU